RNAcentral lists this ribosomal RNA (490 nucleotides) under uncultured bacterium. Its description in RNAcentral is "partial 16S ribosomal RNA". It matches the Rfam family "Bacterial small subunit ribosomal RNA", at positions 29 to 523 of the family's 1533-position model. The record is from RNAcentral.
AAUGAACGUUGGCGGCAUGGAUUAGGCAUGCAAGUCGAGCGAGAAGAGUUUUGAAGCUUGCUUUAGAACUCGGACAGCGGCGAAAGGGAGAGUAACGCGUAGUUAUGUGCCCUAGGGUCCGGAAUAGCCACGGGAAACUGUGGGUAAUGCCGGAUAAUAUCCCCGGAUCAAAGGUGUGAUUCUGCCCUAGGAGCAGACUGCGUCCUACUAGCUGGUUGGUGGGGUAAUGGCCUACCAAGGCAACGAUGGGUAGCGGGUGUGAGAGCAUUACCCGUCUCACUGGGACUGAGACACGGCCCAGACACCUACGGGUGGCGGCAGUCGAGAAUCUUGGGCAAUGGGCGAAAGCCUGACCGAGCGAUGCCGCGUGCGGGAUGAAGGCCCUCGGGUUGUAAACCGCUGUCGUAGGGGAGGAAGGUUCCGUGAAGAGCGGAAUUUGACCUAUCCUAGGAGGAAGUACGGGCUAAGUUCGUGCCAGCAGCCGCCGUAA